GGUCAGUGAUGUGAUGUAAAAGGUCUGAAUCUUAGGCUCCGCCCCCCAUCGCCUUCUGGCUCCCAGCAGCCCCUGCUCUCUGCUCCCAUCAUGCUCUAGUGCUGCAGCGGUGGUCCAGCAGUUGCUGACAGACAGGAUGUGACAUCACGCUGGGAGUCUGUGCCGAGAUCCGACAGACUCCCUGUGAUGACGGACAUCCAACAGAACCAAUCAGAACGGAGCGCCAGGCUGAGGGGACAGGGCCUGAGUGGUGAUCUCACUGUUCUACUGAGACC
Non-coding RNA from Acanthochromis polyacanthus (spiny chromis), 275 nucleotides. The record is from Ensembl. Lineage: Eukaryota; Metazoa; Chordata; Actinopteri; Pomacentridae.